GUUCUACGUAGCUUCCAGAGGACGAGUUCACGUGAAGGAUCGGGAUGAUUGACAGGUCGCCAUCUUUCCUGUUAGUGAGGAGAUAAAAGGAAAACGGCGUCAUGGCCUCAGGAAGAAGUUACCGUAGCGGUUCAGAAAAACGGAGGAAGAGAGACAGUCAGAGUUCUUACCUUUCAGUUUACCAAACCAAGACUUGGUGGUUCACAUGUUGCAGCUGCAGAGCCGAAUGUCGCCAUGGCCAGGAAAGUGUCUCAGAAACAAGUCAUGGAAGGUGGGAGAUUACUGGUUCUCCGGUCAGCACUGCAUCUCAGCUCUAGACCCCCAAACUUGCUUGGUGUUCCUCUGUUUGAUCGGGAGAGGAUGGAGCACAUCUGGCGGGUCCAGAAGAAGCAUGUGAAGAGCAUCCAAGAUCCACCAGGUGUUGCUCUCUGCACUAAAACUGGGAGCUGACCAAGGGAGGUGUGUGUCUGCCGGUGUUUAGGUGAACCAGAGGCUCAACUUCCUUGGAGUCUUUUCAUCUGCAGCUAAACCGCUUCAUACCAGGGAGCAGUGCCAACAGCCUGAAUGUUCAGGUUUACCUGUUGGAAGGGCUACACAGGUGGAACCAGGACCAGGUGUUGCUGCCAUGGCAACUGAGAAGUCUCCUUUGUGCUGCUACUCUGGUGAUUUGCUGCAUUCUGUCAACCAAACCUACAAGAAGCUGUUUGGCAGAAAGGUGGCGCCAGAGUUCUGUCCGUCCUCAUGUUACACAGGCGAACUCGUAGGAGUGCAGUAUCUGUUCCAGCAGACUGAUCAGGAACUGCAGGACAUGAACCCUGACUCAGAGGAGACCGCCCGGUUGGUUGAGGAGCACGAUGUGGUGCUUGAUGAGGAAGAUGAGGGCUUUUCUGACCUCACAGACGAGCCACAGUGCUGGAUAUGGAGGUUCAACCUGCUCCCAGCACCUCCUCCACGCUGGCCUCUGGCAUAUCUGAGGCUGGAGAUUCCUCACAUGAAACUGUGCUCAGUAACAGUUAUUUGCUGCUGUUUUCUACCUACUGUAUGUUCACGGAUGUUAUUGAAACUAAAGGUUUUAAAUAGUAAUUUUCCUGUUUUCUGCUUAAUAACAUUGGCAGGCUGUUGAUGAGCAGAAUGUGGCUGGAUACUAGCAUGUGGAGGAGAAAGAUCCUAAAUAGAAUUUAGGGAACUUGCUCGUCAAUAAUUGUAAAUAGUUCUGAUUGUUUGAGUGUUUAUUGUAAAUAUUGGUCUUUUUUAAAUGGUUCUUGUAUUAUUCAUUUUCUGUGUAAAAGCAACAUUUCUCAUUGUGAAGAGCGACAUUAAACACACAAUAUUAGUGAAUAAUUGUAAAUAGUUUAAUUAUUGUUUAACAGUGUUUAU
Molecule: long non-coding RNA, 1377 nt
Organism: Melanotaenia boesemani (Boeseman's rainbowfish)
Lineage: Eukaryota; Metazoa; Chordata; Actinopteri; Atheriniformes; Melanotaeniidae
Exons: 6
Source: RefSeq, a predicted model, not a curated record